Molecule: ribosomal RNA, 292 nt
Filed under: uncultured Planctomycetota bacterium
Lineage: Bacteria; Pseudomonadati; Planctomycetota
Description: uncultured planctomycete partial 16S ribosomal RNA
Source: RNAcentral
GGACUACUGGGGUAUCUAAUCCCGUUUGCUCCCCUGGCUUUCGCGCCUCAGCGUCAGGUGAGGUCCAGCACGCCGCUUUCGCCACCGGCGUUCCUUCCGAUAUCUACGCAUUUCACCGCUCCACCGGAAGUUCCGCAUGCCCCUACCUCCCUCGAGCUGCUCAGUAUCGGGGGCACUUGUCCGGUUAGGCCGAACGCUUUCACCCCCGACUUAGGCAGCCGCCUACGCGCCCUUUAAGCCCAGUGAAUCCGAACAACGUUCGCACGGUUCGUCUUACCGCGGCUGCUGGCAC